AUGAUGAGCAGGUGACUAAUUUUCUGCUGUUGUUAUUAUUGCAACAAGACCACAGCAGUGGUGUUUGGAUGUUGAUAGUGAGGUUGGUAGACACAGUUCUUACAGUGCUGGUUAAUGUAAAAUACAUACAUUGUGAGGACUGUGUGUGGAAUCUGUCAGGUGUUAUUUAGUUUACACUGAGAAAUUAAUUUUCUAUCAAUAUUAUUGCAUUACAUUUGGCUCAUUUAUGUCACUAACCAGUGUAGCUACAUAACUGUAUUGAAAAGUAUCAACGUAUCUGUGUUGAAUGGAUGUUAAUGCCCUUUUGUGUUUGUUUGCACAACGUUUCAGGGCACACCGAUCUUCCUCAUGUUGAUAUGCCCAUGGCAUCGUCCUCCCUCAAAGAUGAUGAGCAGGUGACUAAUUUUUCUGCUGUUGUUAUUAUGGCAAAAAUAACACAACAUAGUUGUUUGGAUGUUGAUAGUGAGGUUGGUAGACACAGUUCUUACAGUGCGGGUUAAUGUAAGAUACAUACAUUGUGAGGACUGUGUGUGUUUUGGAUAUGCAAGUCUAUCGAAAGAUGGGCUCCCAAGUCCACAUGAAACACAGACCCUACAGUGUAUGAAGCUGUCAGGUACAUUAUUAUGAGGACUGUGUGUGGAUACUGUCGUGUGUUAUCUUAGUUUACACUGAGGAAUUAAUUUUCUAUCACUAUUAUUGCAUUCCAUUUGCCUCAUUUAUGUCACUAACCAGUGUAGCUACGUAACUGCAUUGUAAAGUCUCAACGUAUCUGUGUUGAAUGGAUGUUAAUGCCCUUUUGUGUUUGUUUGCACAACGUUUCAGGGCACACCGAUCUUCCUCAUGUUGAUAUGCCCAUGGCAUCGUCCUCCCUCAAAGAUGAUGAGCAGGGCACACCGAUCUUCCUCAUGUUGAUAUGCCCAUGGCAUCGUCCUCCCUCAAAGAUGAUGAGCAGGGCAUACCGAUCGUCCUCAUGUUGAUACGCCCAUGGCAUCGUCCUCCCUCAAAGAUGAUGAGCAGGGCACACCGAUCUUCCUCAUGUUGAUACGCCCAUGGCAUCGUCCUCCCUCAAAGAUGAUGAGCAGGGCAUACCGAUCUUCCUCAUGUUGAUAUGCCCAUGGCAUCGUCCUCCCUCAAAGAUGAUGAGCAGCAUUUCCUGAAAAUGGUGCUGAAGGGGAAAAUCCUCAAAGGAAACAAAAAUCUCCAUGAUGUCCCACAGAGAUUGGAGCAGUGAGGAGACAUUUCUGUGGGCACAUUGCUAAUGGGAGACUAUCCAUUGUGAUUAAAAUCAAACAGUGUAAAAAUGCUCAAUGUCCUGUAUGAGACAGUCGCUCUUUUCAAAAUGUAAGCGACUUUGUCAUGAAUCAUGGUUUAAUGCUAAAAAAGAGGAACAGUUGUUAAAUAAUCAGGUUAAAAAAAUCUAUAGACACAUCUGAGACAUAUACAUGUUUGCAAAAGUCAUUUAGUUUGCAGUAGGGCUGGGCCAUAUCAUACCGUUCACGGUAAUACCGGUAUAAUUUUGGGCAACGAUAAGAAAAUGAAAUAUUGCGAUAGAAUAUGGGUAAAACGCGCAUGCGCAGUACCUUUGUUUUCAUACGCACAUGGCGGAUAAAGCAUGGCGGAGAAUGAGAAGGGCAAAAGCGGAUCGGCAGUGCCCUUUAUAAUCCCGCGGGCCUUAUGUAUGAAUUCUGGUUGUGUUUACUGACCUUGAAACGAUUUUAUGUGGUACACGGUGCUCAAAAAUCUGUCAAAUGUUUUAGCACAACUUUGCUAAGCUACGAACCCACACCGCUUGAUGGAUUGUCGGAGCAUUAUAGCUAUCGUAGGCAGGAGCCUCGCGGAGUGAUAUGUACUGUGCUUCAACAUAGUAUUACAGUAUUGUGUGUAUAUAACCUCUUUUUAAGUUUUGUGGACAUUAUACAUGGUUAUGCUGAGGAUAUGUCGGCCAGUUUCCACUGGAAAUGCCUUUUGGUUAAACUGUCAGCAAAGAAUUUGC
Molecule: long non-coding RNA, 1993 nt
Organism: Oreochromis niloticus (Nile tilapia)
Lineage: Eukaryota; Metazoa; Chordata; Actinopteri; Cichliformes; Cichlidae
Exons: 6
Source: RefSeq, a predicted model, not a curated record